CGAAAGGAGGCUUUUCCAGACAGCUUCAGUGCAGGUCCAGAAGGCGAUGGCUGUGAUGCCAACACAGUUGGACUAUAUCCAUGAGGAGCCAGAGUGGGAUUCCUUUGGAUCCGAAUUAUGCAGCCAUACAGGAUCGGACCCAGAGUACAAGCCAACUCACACUGCAUCAUCAUCCAGUGAUGAGGAAGAUUUGAAAAGCCGAGACAAACACAAGAACCUCAGAACUUAUGUGAAAAGACAAAAAAAAACAAAAGACGAACAAAACAAAAUCAACUGUGACCAUAAAAACUUGUACAAAAAGGGAAGAUGGCAAGCGAGCACGCGACAAAAGACAUUAUUGUCUCUACUGUGGCCAGUCAGACUUAAGGAUUGCGAGACAUUUGCAGAGAAAUCAUAUGGAGAUCCAGGAUGUAGCAUAUGUCUUCAGCUUUCCAUCAGGAUCAAAAGACAGAAGGGUUCUUUUGGAACAACUGAGAAAUAAAGGAGAUUUCAAGCACAAUACCAAAGUCCUGGAAAAGGCAGAGGACAAAUAGUGACAUGGAGGCAGCCCUCUGAUGAAGCUUCUGUUAAGGAUUAUUUGGCUUGCCAAUAUUGCUAUGGACUGUUUGCUAAAAAGGUUUUGAAAAGACAUCAUUCCACAUGCAGAAGUAAAACAUCAUGUGUAACAGAAGACAAAAAGACAAGAAAAAGAGUACAAAGUC
Siniperca chuatsi (mandarin fish) is the source of this 701-nucleotide long non-coding RNA. RefSeq lists it as uncharacterized. The record is from RefSeq and is a predicted model, not a curated record. Lineage: Eukaryota; Metazoa; Chordata; Actinopteri; Centrarchiformes; Sinipercidae. The transcript is spliced from 3 exons.